UUUUGCCCUGUUCUUUCACUCUCUAAUGCUCCUUUCUUCUUUCACUCUCUACUUCUCCCAUUAGUCAUAUGAAUUGUACUUCAUUUUUGAAAACACCUUCUACGGGAAAAUUGAAGUAACUUCAAUCUAGUGGUUAACAAAUUGUAAGUUAUCAAGAUUUAAUUGUGUUUAAUAAUUUAGUUCAUUAAUUUUUUUUCUAUGAAGUUCAACUUUAUCAAUUAAGGGGGGUUUCUAUUUUUUCUUCAUUUGCAUGUUCAAAUUUCAUUAUUUUUCAAUCCUAUUCAAGUUUAGUAUUUUGUUUUUUUGGGUUUUUUUUUUUUCAUAUAGUACAAGUUAGAUCUUUGAUUUGUAUAUAGUAAGUUAUCAAGAUUUAAUUGUAUUUAAUAUUCUAGUUCAUUAAUUUUUUUCUGUCAAGUUCAACUUUACUAAUUAAGGGGGUUUCCAUUUAUUCUUCAUUUGCAUGUUCAAAUUUCAUUAUUCUUCAAUCCUAUUCAAGUUUAGUAGUUCGUUUUUUUUUUAAUUUUUUUUCAUCUAGUACAAGUUAGAUUUUUGAUUUUCUUGUUACAAAAAAACAAAACAAAUCAUACAUGUGAAACCAAUUUAUCAUUUUUUUAAUGUUGUUUGUGUUCUUCAUGUUUUUCAAAUGUUGUUGAAGAAGACCAUUCAAAUAGUAGUGGGUUGAUGCAAAAAUAAGAAGAAAUAAGUGUGGUCUUUGUUUAUCUUAAAACAACUUUUUCAAAAAGGUCACCUCUUGUUGAAAUUGUAAAAUAGAAUCCAAGGCUUGUGAACUUAGAAUAUGAUAUCAUACAUGUAAAAAAAUUUAUCAUACAUGUGAAUCAAUAUAUAAUUAUGAUGUCAUACAUGUGAACCAAUUUAUCAUACAUGUGAACCAAUAUUAUACAUUCGAAUGUUUAUUGGAACGGCACACUUUCAUUAUACAACGAUUUGAACGUAUAACAACAUAUUAUACAUUCGCAAGUUUACUGGAUUGACAAAGUUUCAUUAUACAUAGGUUUUAAUGUAUGCUAACAUGUUGAGAUGUACUUUUAGUAAAGUCUAAUAUGAAUUGUUAGAUGUGUAAGUUACCCUCAUAUAUGUGCAACUCUAUAGCGGUUAGUGUUGAUUUUAUUAUACAUUAAUGCAAUUUGUUCGUAAAUGAAUAAGUUACCUGCAAUCAUGUCUAACAACUUAUAUUAAUUUUGACAUGUGCUACCAUACAUCUGAACCUACUGUCUCUGAACCAACAUAUCAUACAUCUGAACCUACGUCGUACAUCUAAACCAAUAUAUCAUAUAUCUAAACCUACUAUCAUACAUCUGAACCGACAUAUCAUACAUCUGAACCUACUGCCAUACAUCUGAACCUACAAUUAUACAUCUGAACCAACAUAUCAAAAGUGUGAUCUUUGUUUGUCUUAAAAUAUAUUCCAAGACUUAUAAAAAAAUAAAGAAGAAAAUAAGGAUUUGAAAAGUCUGGACAAAGACUUCCAAAAGAGGCAACAACCUUUCCAACCUUUCUAGCUAUCCAACUGCAAUCAUGUCAUGUAUAAUAACAUGUAACAUAAGUUAUUGUUAGAAACAUCAUAUCAACAACACAUAUUCUAUAUUUUCAUUAUGAGUUAAUUAAAUUUUUAUUACAUCCAGCACUGGACUAUAUUAUACAUUAAUGCAGUCUAUUUAUACAUGUAUAACUUAUCCUCAUACAUGACCAUAAGUUGUUUAAUGUUUGUAUGAUUUUAUUUUUUAAUGUAUAAAUGAACCUCCUAUGUUAGCUAAUUAUGAUAUAAAUUGUUAGAUGUAUAAAAAAUCAUCAUACAUUUAUGUGUUGUUUAAUAAUGGUUAUGAAUGAUUUUUAGGUGUAUAAGUUACCCUCAUACAUGUAGAGAUGUACUUUUAGUAGAGUCUAAUAUAAAUUGUUAGAUGAAUAAGUUACCCUCAUAUAUGUCUAACAAUUUUUAUUAAUUUUCGCAUGUGCUAUCAUACAUCUGAACCUACUGUCAUACAUUUGAACCAACAUAUCAUACAUCUGAACCAACAUAUCAUACAUCUGAACCUACUGUCAUACAUCUGAACCAACAUAUCAUACAUCUGAACCUACUGUCAUACAUUUGAACCUACUGUCAUACAACUGAACUAACAUAUCAAAAGUGUGGUCUUUAUUUUUCUAAAAAUAUAUUCCAAGACUUAUAAAAAAAAUUUAAAAAAAAUAUGGAUUCCAAUACUUUUCUUCCUCUCAAAUAUCAUUUACUAUUAGUAUCCAUCAAAAAGUUAAAGUAGCUAAUUAUUGCCAUCAAUUAAAGAAAAGUAAAGUAAUUUAUCAUUUCAAUUACCUCAAAUUAAGGAAAAAUUGUUUCAUCAUACAUUGACCAUCACACUUGGCAGGAUGUAUGAAUUAUUAUGCUGUCAUACAUGUUAAUCAAUUUAUCAUAUAUGUGAACCAACAUUAUACAUUUGAAUGCUUAUUGGAUCGGCACAGUUUAAUUCAUUAUACAAUGAUUUGAAUGUAUAACAACAUAUUAUACAUUCGCAAGUUUAAUGGAAUGACAAACUUUCAUUAUACAUAAGCUUUAAUAUAUGCUAACAUAUUAUACAAAAAGGGAGCAAAUGUAACAUUGAAAAUUUUCAUAACCAACUCAAAAAUAUUUUAAUAUUUUGACAUCCUAAUUUUUGCAAUCUUUAAUAAGAAGCAAAGGAAAAUAUCAUAGAACAGUGUGAUGGGUAUAUUCAUUUUGAUUUUAGUAGUACUGAAGAACGAAUAUAGAGGAAAUCUUUUUUUAAUCCAACAUUACAAUAAAAAAAAAAUUGAUCCAAGAUUACAUAAAAAAAUAAAAUAUCAUACAUGUGAACCAAUUUAUCAUUUUUGAAUGUUGUUUGUGUUCUUCAUGUUCUUCAAAGGUUGUUGAAGAAAACCAUUCAAAAAGCUUGUGUUCUUCAUGUUCUUCAGAGGUUGUUCUUCAUGGACAUAUAUCUCCCUAACAUAUUAGUACAAGUUAAAUUGUGAGAAUGAGAAAAACUUUAAGAGAGAGAAUAGAGAGAGAUAAAAAAGAUAAAAAUUAAUUGGAUGAUUCAAUUUUUGGGAUCUUGAUUCCUAAAUUACAAAAUCAGAAAAAAAAAAAUUAAGGCCAUUAACAUUGACUUUGAAAUUCAAAUAAAAGUAAAUAUCUUCAUCCAGCACGAAAAAAAACUAAAGCUAGCUAAUUAGGUCAUAGCCUUUGAAAUUCAAAUACAAGUUAAUGCUUUUAUCUAACACAUAAAAAAAUUAUAAAGCUAUCUAAUUAGAUCCCUAAUUUCAGGAAAAGUAAAGAAUCUAAUCAUUACACCUUCCUUAAAUUAAGGAAUUAAUGUUUCCCUCAUACAUCCGACACAUGUACAAGGAAUGACCUAAUUUAUUAGUAAGUUUGCUAAAAAUAGGGAGAAAGAAACCAAGAGGGAAAUAUAUGUAAUUACUUUCUUUAGUUAAGGGAUUUCUGUGGUUUGCCCACAAAAAUUCUUGAGCAACCCAAUAAUGGGCUCCAAACAUUGACCAGGAUCUCUUCCAUAGACUCGUAUUGUUGUAUCCUUGAGUUCUAAGGAGACACGAAAUCAUGAAUUAUAAAACAUGAAUACACAAAACAUAUUAACUAUGUGGUAGUAUUUUUCAAGGAGC
This 3645-nucleotide long non-coding RNA is filed under the name Capsicum annuum. RNAcentral's name for it is "long non-coding RNA (CANN_LNC003485)". Lineage: Eukaryota; Viridiplantae; Streptophyta; Magnoliopsida; Solanales; Solanaceae. The record is from RNAcentral.